AGAGUUUGAUCAUGGCUCAGAACGAACGCUGGCGCAGCCUAACACAUGCAAGUCGAACGCGUGUAGCAAUACACGAGUGGCGCACGGGAGAGUAACGCGUGGGACCUACCUUUUGGUUCGGGAUAACGUCGGGAAACUGACGCUAAUACCGGAUAAGCCCUACGGGGGGAAGAUUUAUCGCCGAUAGAUGGGCCCGCGUUAGAUUAGUUUGUUGGUGAGGUAAUGGCCCACCAAGACUACGAUCUAUAGCUGGUCUGAGAGGAUGAUCAGCCUCACUGGGACUGAGACACGGCCCAGACUCCUACGGGAGGCAGCAGUGGGGAAUAUUGGACAAUGGGGGAAACCCUGAUCCAGCCAUGCCGCGUGAAUGAUGAAGGCCUUCGGGUUGUAAAAUUCUUUUGGUGGGGACGAUGAUGACGGUACCCACAGAAUAAGCUCCGGCUAACUUCGUGCCAGCAGCCGCGGUAAUACGAAGGGGGCUAGCGUUGUUCGGAAUUACUGGGCGUAAAGGGCGCGUAGGCGGUUUGGUAAGUUGGAUGUGAAAGCCCAGGGCUUAACCCUGGAACUGCAUUCAAAACUAUCAGACUUGAAUUCGGUAGAGGUUGGUGGAAUUCCCAGUGUAGAGGUGAAAUUCGUAGAUAUUGGGAAGAAUAUCCGUGGCGAAGGCGGCCAACUGGACCGACAUUGACGCUGAGGCGCGAAAGCGUGGGGAGCAAACAGGAUUAGAUACCCUAGUAGUCC
This 741-nucleotide ribosomal RNA is filed under the name uncultured bacterium. Its description in RNAcentral is "bacterial SSU rRNA". It matches the Rfam family "Bacterial small subunit ribosomal RNA", at positions 8 to 796 of the family's 1533-position model. The record is from RNAcentral.